RNAcentral lists this unclassified non-coding RNA (336 nucleotides) under soil metagenome. Its description in RNAcentral is "partial contains 5.8S ribosomal RNA, internal transcribed spacer 2, and large subunit ribosomal RNA". The stretch from base 1 to 120 matches the Rfam family "5.8S ribosomal RNA", at positions 35 to 154 of the family's 154-position model. The record is from RNAcentral.
GAUGAAGAACGUAGCGAAAUGCGAUAAGUAAUGUGAAUUGCAGAAUUCAGUGAAUCAUCGAAUCUUUGAACGCACAUUGCGCCCGCCAGUAUUCUGGCGGGCAUGCCUGUUCGAGCGUCAUUUCAACCAUCAAGCCCCAGGCUUGUGUUGGGGACCUGCGGCUGCCGCAGGCCCUGAAAACCAGUGGCGGGCUCGCUGUCACACCGGGCGUAGUAGAUUUUAUCUCGCUCAGGGCGUGCUGCGGGUUCCGGCCGUUAAAAAGCCUUUUGUACCCAAGGUUGACCUCGGAUCAGGUAGGAAGACCCGCUGAACUUAAGCAUAUCAAUAAGCGGAGGA